Molecule: ribosomal RNA, 1333 nt
Filed under: Bergeyella sp. 405
Lineage: Bacteria; Pseudomonadati; Bacteroidota; Flavobacteriia; Flavobacteriales; Weeksellaceae
Description: 16S ribosomal RNA
Rfam family: Bacterial small subunit ribosomal RNA
Source: RNAcentral
GAGCGGCGAACGGGUGCGUAACACGUGUGCAACUUACCUUUAUCAGGGGGAUAGCCUUUAGAAAUGGAGAUUAAUACCCCAUAAUAUAGAGUAUGGCAUCAUACUUUAUUGAAAAUUUCGAUGGAUAGAGAUAGGCACGCGCAAGAUUAGCUAGUUGGUACGGUAACGGCGUACCAAGGCGAUGAUCUUUAGGGGUCCUGAGAGGGAGAUCCCCCACACUGGUACUGAGACACGGACCAGACUCCUACGGGAGGCAGCAGUGAGGAAUAUUGGACAAUGGGUGAGAGCCUGAUCCAGCCAUCCCGCGUGAAGGAUUAAGGACCUAUGGUUCGUAAACUUCUUUUAUAUAGGAAUAAACCUACCCUCGUGAGGGUAGCUGAAGGUACUAUAUGAAUAAGCACCGGCUAACUCCGUGCCAGCAGCCGCGGUAAUACGGAGGGUGCGAGCGUUAUCCGGAUUUAUUGGGUUUAAAGGGUCCGUAGGCGGGCUAAUAAGUCAGUAGUGAAAUCUUGUCGCUUAACGAUAAAACUGCUAUUGAUACUGUUAGUCUUGAGUGUAUUUGAAGUAGCUGGAAUGAGUAGUGUAGCGGUGAAAUGCAUAGAUAUUACUCAGAACACCGAUUGCGAAGGCAGGUUACUAAGAUACAACUGACGCUGAGGGACGAAAGCGUGGGGAGCGAACAGGAUUAGAUACCCUGGUAGUCCACGCUGUAAACGAUGCUUACUCGUUUUCGGGGAAUUAUUUUCGGAGACUAAGAGAAAUUGAUAAGUAAGCCACCUGGGGAGUACGAUCGCAAGAUUGAAACUCAAAGGAAUUGACGGGGGCCCGCACAAGCGGUGGAUUAUGUGGUUUAAUUCGAUGAUACGCGAGGAACCUUACCAAGACUUAAAUGUAUGUUGACAGGGCAAGAGAUUGCUUUUUCUUCGGACAAUAUACAAGGUGCUGCAUGGUGUCGUCAGCUCGUGCCGUGAGGUGUUAGGUUAAGUCCUGCAACGAGCGCAACCCCUAUCACUAGUUGCUACCAUUAAGUUGAGGACUCUAGUGAGACUGCCUACGCAAGUAGUGAGGAAGGUGGGGAUGACGUCAAAUCAUCACGGCCCUUACGUCUUGGGCUACACACGUAAUACAAUGGUAGGUACAGAGGGCAGCUACACUGUGAAGUGAUGCGAAUCUCGAAAGCCUAUCUCAGUUCGGAUUGGAGUCUGCAACUCGACUCUAUGAAGCUGGAAUCGCUAGUAAUCGCGCAUCAGCCAUGGCGCGGUGAAUACGUUCCCGGGCCUUGUACACACCGCCCGUCAAGCCAUGGAAGUCUGGGGUACCUGAAGUCGGUGAC